Molecule: ribosomal RNA, 466 nt
Filed under: uncultured bacterium
Lineage: Bacteria
Description: partial 16S ribosomal RNA
Rfam family: Bacterial small subunit ribosomal RNA
Source: RNAcentral
GACGAACGCUGGCGGCGCGCCUAACACAUGCAAGUCGAACGAGCGAGAGAGAGCUUGCUUUCUCGAGCGAGUGGCGAACGGGUGAGUAACGCGUGAGGAACCUGCCUCAAAGAGGGGGACAACAGUUGGAAACGACUGCUAAUACCGCAUAAGCCCACGACCCGGCAUCGGGUCGAGGGAAAAGGAGCAAUCCGCUUUGAGAUGGCCUCGCGUCCGAUUAGCUAGUUGGCGAGGUAACGGCCCACCAAGGCGACGAUCGGUAGCCGGACAGAGAGGUUGAACGGCCACAUUGAGACUGAGACACGGCCCAGACUCCUACGGGAGGCAGCAGUGGGGAAUAUUGCACAAUGGGGGAAACCCUGAUGCAGCGACGCCGCGUGGAGGAAGAAGGUCUUCGGAUUGUAAACUCCUGUUGUUGAGGAAGAUAAUGACGGUACUCAACAAGGAAGUGACGGCUAACUACGUG